GACGAACGCUGGCGGCGUGCUUAACACAUGCAAGUCGAACGGAAAGGCCCUGCUUUUGUGGGGUGCUCGAGUGGCGAACGGGUGAGUAACACGUGAGUAACCUGCCCUUGACUUUGGGAUAACUUCAGGAAACUGGGGCUAAUACCGGAUAGGAGCUCCUGCUGCAUGGUGGGGGUUGGAAAGUUUCGGCGGUUGGGGAUGGACUCGCGGCUUAUCAGCUUGUUGGUGGGGUAGUGGCUUACCAAGGCUUUGCCGGGUAGCCGGCCUGAGAGGGGGACCGGACACAUUAGGCCUGAGAUACGGCCCAGACUCCUAUGGGAGGCAGCAGUGGAGAAUAUUGCACAAUGGGCGGAGGCCUGAUGCAGCAACGCCGCGUGCGGGAUGACGGCCUUCGGGUUGUAAACCGAUUUCGCCUGUGACGAAGCGUGAGUGACGGUAAUGGGUAAAGAAGCACCGGCUAACUACGUG
This 468-nucleotide ribosomal RNA is filed under the name uncultured bacterium. Its description in RNAcentral is "partial 16S ribosomal RNA". It matches the Rfam family "Bacterial small subunit ribosomal RNA", at positions 28 to 507 of the family's 1533-position model. The record is from RNAcentral.